Trichoplusia ni (cabbage looper) is the source of this 1128-nucleotide long non-coding RNA. RefSeq lists it as uncharacterized. The transcript has 2 exons. The record is from RefSeq and is a predicted model, not a curated record. NCBI's taxonomy places the organism in Eukaryota, Metazoa, Arthropoda, Insecta, Lepidoptera, Noctuidae.
CGCAGGUCGCGUCGCGCCAGGCGCACGACUAUGGCGCGCGGCCGCGUUACUACCGGACCGGCAGAGCUUGUGACGUUGAGCUGCUUGCCGCCGACCCGCUCCGCGCUGACAAUGUCGCGCUCCUCCAGCUGCACCCCUAACUUAAGGCCUACGACUUUCGCAAUGUGGAUAGGGUUAUCAGAAGGAGCCUCCGCUUCAUCUGCCGAUGAACGACCCGUGCAAGCCUGUUGCUCCAAUGCGCUAACUCUGGCCUCGAGGCCAUCGAUACGCGCGUUGCAGCUGCUCAUCGAAGACUUCAGCUGCGCCAUCUCCAACUCCAUCUCCUUGCGAAACUCUUGAAUCUCCGCACGCAUCGCCCUCAAUUCAUCCAUGAGCAAACAUAAGUCAGAGCCUGCGAUGGGAGAAACCCGCGCCGCGAUGACAGCCGAAGAGGCGUUCCUAUGUAGCGGCGUAGAAGCAGACGACGGGCUAGUGGUUUGUGUCUCGCAGACCACGGGUGCUGGGCUAGGGUGACUGCCAUCAGACUCAUUCGACGUCGAAGAGGCGUUCUUGUAUAGCGACGUAGAAGCAGACGACGGGCUAGACGGUUGUUGCUCGCAUACCAUGGGUGCUGGGUUAGAGCAGCUGGCAUCCAACUCUUUAAUCGUAUGGGCCACCGAGCAAGUUUGGCUUGACGAGCAAGUUGUACUUGCAGUGCCUCCUGCCAAGCCAGCCGGACCUCUCACUGGAGUCUCAGCCCUGUUAUCCCUGACCAGGUUCUUUUUACAUUCAGGGCAGCGCCAGGAUGUUGGGAUAGCUACGUCCGCUUUAAUACCAACGCAUCCUCGGUGGUAUAGUCGUCGACACUUGAUAUUCCCACACUUGACGCCCUCUAUGGCUGAUGCAAAGCGACUGCAACCUGCGCACUGGAUACCCGGCAUGGUGCACCGAUGCAGUAGCAAAGUUCAGUGCAAGAUCGCUAGAUGGCGCCACUGGCCCGAUAUCGAUCGUUGAAGAUACCGAGAAUAACCGCCUCCUGUCAAUGUUCGAGUUGUCAGAUUGACAAGUUUGGAGUGACGAGAAUAUCCCCGAUGUCAAGAGCACUUUUUUUAAAGAGAGGGUAGAAAUUAAAUACGCCUAGUCACUGUC